Non-coding RNA from Prunus avium (sweet cherry), 843 nucleotides. Lineage: Eukaryota; Viridiplantae; Streptophyta; Magnoliopsida; Rosales; Rosaceae. The record is from RefSeq and is a predicted model, not a curated record.
GAAUUCAUUUUUCAGGACUCUCUUCUCUAAGUUCUCUAAGCCACCACCACCCAGAACAACACUUCACGGCCUGAAAAAUGCGUACGGUACUCUUGAUGCGGUGGUCGGCACCACGAAGGCGGCGUAUGUGGUGGGUAGACUCGGCCCAACUGCUGCGGCUACGGCUGCCUGGAAGUCCUUUACAUACGACAUGGAUCUGUCUAGCCUCCAAGGAAGAGUGGAUAUGCUGGAGUCGUCUCUGAAGGACCAUUCCAUCAAACUUGAAGAGCUGACAAGUGAAAGAGCUCAAGAUGCUCUGAAAGCGCAAGCGGUGAUGGAGGCAGUGGUUCGUAACUGUAAAGCGCUUGAGGAGGAUCUACUGCAAUGCAAGAAGCAGAUGGCCGAGAUGGAGAAGAAAACCACCAGAAAUUGAUUAUUUAGGGUUUCUCUUUAGGGUUUAUACUGACUGAUGAGGAAGAUACUUUUUGUGUUAUGCUCUGGACUAUCUUUUUUAAUGAAGUAGCCACCUAUAUUUUGAACUAUUCUGAUGUUUGAUUCAUCAGUUUUAUCAGUUUUAUGGGUUUGAAUCAUCAGUAUUAUCAGUUUUAUCAGUUUUAUUCAUCUGCAAAUGUUAGAUCACAACGUUCGGAGCAACGUUGUGCAAUUUUGUGCAUUUUUGUGCAGGAAAUUGCAGAUCGGAGUAACGUUCGGAGCUUCUGGGCUGCUACACCCGCGGCGACAAAUUACCAGAGAAGUUAUUCACCGAGCCCAGCAGUCAGCGGCGAGGUCAUGAACAGGAGUGGUUUCCAAAAAGGGUCCGUGCUGGUCGGAGCUAAAGUUCACUGGGAUGGCGACGUGGGGUAA